RNAcentral lists this ribosomal RNA (465 nucleotides) under uncultured bacterium. RNAcentral's name for it is "partial 16S ribosomal RNA". It matches the Rfam family "Bacterial small subunit ribosomal RNA", at positions 339 to 795 of the family's 1533-position model. The record is from RNAcentral.
CUACGGGACGCAGCAGUCGAGAAUAGUCUACAAUGGACGAAAGUCUGAUAGUGCGACGCCGCGUGGAUGAAGAAGCAUUUCGGUGUGUAAAGUCCUUUUCUGUGUGAGCAAUGUUUUCCAGGUUAAUAGCUUGGAGAAAGCGAUAUUAACACAGGAAUAAGCUCCGGCUAACUCCGUGCCAGCAGCCGCGGUAACACGGGGGGAGCAAGCGUUGUCCGGAAUUACUAGGCGUAAAGGGUAAGUAGGCGGAAUUGUAAGUCAGAGGUAAAGGCACCGGCUCAACCGGUGUAUGGCAUUUGAUACUGUAAUUCUAGAGUAAGGUGGGGGAAGACGGAAUUCCUGGUGUAGCGGUGGAAUGCGCAGAUAUCAGGAGGAACACCAGAGGCGCAGGCGGUCUUCUAUACCAUUACUGACGCUCAAUUACGAAGGUGUGGGUAUCAAACAGGAUUAGAUACCCUAGUAGUC